CUAGUUGUAUUAUUAGUUAAUGCAAGAUCGACUACGUCGACUAAAGUUCUAGGUAGAAUAAUGAUGAUGACAAUUUUUUACCUAUAUGUCUUGACCAAGUCUCGUGCCAGCAGUCGCGGUAAUACGUGGAAGACUAGUGUUAUUCAUCUUUAUUAGGUUUAAAGGGUACCUAGACGGUAUUUCUAGCCCAAAAUAGGGUACGGAUUUACUAGAGUUUUAUGUGAGGAGGGGAGUACUCGUGGAGUAGAGAUGAAAUUUUGUUAUACUAUGAGGUAACUGGUGGCGGCGAAAGCAACCUUCUAUGUAUAAACUGACGUUGAGGGACGAAGGCUUGGGUAGCAAAUAGGAUUAGAUACCCUAGUAGUCCAAGCAGACAAUUCUGAAUGCCAUAGAUUAGAUUAUUUUUGGUCUAUAAAUGAAAGUGUAAGCAUUCCACCUUAGGAGUAAUGUGGCAACACAGGAACUGAAAUCAUUAGACCGUUUCUGAAACCAGUAGUGAAGUAUGUUAUUUAAAUUGAUGGUCCACAAAAAACCUUACCACAACUUGAAUAUUUUUUUUUAUUAAUACAAGCGUUGCACGGCUGUCUUCAGUUAAUGUCGUGAGAUUUUGGUUAACUCCAUUAAUUAACGUAAACCCUUACUU
Molecule: ribosomal RNA, 643 nt
Filed under: Acarospora amabilis
Lineage: Eukaryota; Fungi; Ascomycota; Lecanoromycetes; Acarosporales; Acarosporaceae
Description: SSU rRNA
Rfam family: Bacterial small subunit ribosomal RNA
Source: RNAcentral